CCCGCUGAACUUAAGCAUAUCAAUAAGCGGAGGAAAAGAAACCAACAGGGAUUGCCUCAGUAACGGCGAGUGAAGCGGCAACAGCUCAAAUUUGAAAUCUGGCCCUUGGGUCCGAGUUGUAAUUUGUAGAGGAUGCUUCUGGCGCGGUGCCUUCCGAGUUCCCUGGAACGGGACGCCAUAGAGGGUGAGAGCCCCGUCUGGUUGGAUGCCUAGCCUUUGUGAAGCUCCUUCGACGAGUCGAGUAGUUUGGGAAUGCUGCUCUAAAUGGGAGGUAUAUGUCUUCUAAAGCUAAAUAUUGGCCAGAGACCGAUAGCGCACAAGUAGAGUGAUCGAAAGAUGAAAAGCACUUUGAAAAGAGAGUGAAACAGUACGUGAAAUUGUUGAAAGGGAAACGCUUGAAGUCAGUCGCGUCUUCUGGAACUCAGCCGUGCUUCUGCUAGGCGCAUUUUCCAGUUUGACGGGUCAGCAUCGGUUUCGGUGGGCAGACAAAGGCGCAGGGAAGGUGGCCGCUCCGGUGGUGUUAUAGCCCUGCGUUGUAUGUGCCCGCUGGGACCGAGGAAUCCGGCUCGCGCCUGGGAUGCUGGCGUAAUGGCUCUAAGCGACCCGUCUUGAAACACGG
Molecule: ribosomal RNA, 619 nt
Filed under: uncultured fungus
Lineage: Eukaryota; Fungi
Description: eukaryotic LSU rRNA
Rfam family: Eukaryotic large subunit ribosomal RNA
Source: RNAcentral